UUGAUCCUGGCUCAGGACGGACGCUGGCGGCGCGCCUAACACAUGCAAGUCGAACGGGGUCCUUUUAGGAGGCUUGCUUCUUGGUUGGACCUUUUGGCGGACGGGUGAGUAACACGUGAGCAACCUACCCUGGAGUGGGGGAUAACAUCUGGAAACGGAAGCUAAUACCGCAUAAUAUCUAAAGUCGGCAUCGGCUUUUGAUCAAAGGAUUUAUUCGCUUUAGGAUGGGCUCGCGUCCGAUUAGAUAUUGGUGAGGUAAAGGCUCACCUAGUCUGCGAUCGGUAGCCGGACUGAGAGGUUGAUCGGCCACAUUGGGACUGAGACACGGCCCAGACUCCUACGGGAGGCAGGCAGUGGGGAUCAUUGCCAUGGGAACCCUGAUGCAGCGACGCGCGUGAGUGAAGACUGCUUCGGUUGUAAAGCUCUGUGAGGGGGACGAUAUGACGGUACCCUUACAAAGCGGCUACUACGGCCAGCAGCGCGUAAUACGUAGUGGGAGCGUUGUCGAAUUACUGGUGUAAGGGAGUGUAGGCGGGGUUUAGUUGGUUGUAUGUGAAGACGCUAAUGAGCGGUCAUCCAUUAACUGGUUCAUGUUGAUGAAGAGAGGAAGGGAAUUCCUGUGUAGCGUGAAAUGGUAGAUAUAGGAGGAAACCGUGGGAGGCUGCUUUUGUGACUUCUGAGUGAGCUACGAGCGUCGGCAGCAACAGUGAUAAUACGUCUGUCACCCGAACGAGAUUAUAGCGUGGUGUGGGGUUGCCACCUUCGUGCCGCAGUUAACACAUAAGAUCCCACUGGGGAGUACGGCGCAAGUGAAAUCAAAGGAUUACCGGGGCCCGCACAACAGUGGAUUAUGUGGUUUAUUGAGCAACGCGACAACCUUGCCAGCUUGACAUCCAUGCAUCACUAGAUAUGGACCUUGGCACUCAGACAGCAUGGUGCAUCGUGUCGUCGUCACAUGUGUCGUAUGAUGUGUGGUUAAGUCUCGCACAACGGCAACACUCUCUAGUGCUUAGUUAGUACGCACAGAUGCACGGCUAAUGGGACUGCCGUUGACAAAACGGAGGAAGGUGGGGAUGACGUCAAAUCAUCAUGCCCUUUAUGACUUGGGCUACACACGUAAUACAAUGGCGCUUAACAGAGGGAAGCAAUACCCAAAGGUGGAGCGAAACCCUAAAAAGCAUCUCAGUUCGAAUCGCAGGCUGCAACUCGCCUGCGUGAAGUCGGAAUUGCUAGUAAUCGCGGAUCAGCAUGCCGCGGUGAAUACGUUCCCGGGCCUUGUACACACCGCCCGUCACACCAUGGAAGCCGGUAACACCCGAAGUCAGUAGCCUAACCGUAAGGAGGCAGCUGCCGAAGGCGGGAUUAGUGACUGGGGUGAAGUCGUAACAAGGUAA
Molecule: ribosomal RNA, 1394 nt
Filed under: uncultured Bacillota bacterium
Lineage: Bacteria; Bacillati; Bacillota
Description: bacterial SSU rRNA
Rfam family: Bacterial small subunit ribosomal RNA
Source: RNAcentral